This 232-nucleotide ribosomal RNA is filed under the name uncultured bacterium. Its description in RNAcentral is "partial 16S ribosomal RNA". It matches the Rfam family "Bacterial small subunit ribosomal RNA", at positions 103 to 334 of the family's 1533-position model. The record is from RNAcentral.
CGGGUGAGUAACACGUAUCCAACCUGCCGUCUACUCUUGGCCAGCCUUCUGAAGGAAGAUUAAUCCAGGAUGGGAUCAUGAGUUCACAUGUCCGCAUGAUUAAAGGUAUUUUCCGGUAGACGAUGGGGAUGCGUUCCAUUAGAUAGUAGGCGGGGUAACGGCCCACCUAGUCAACGAUGGAUAGGGGUUCUGAGAGGAAGGUCCCCCACAUUGGAGCUGAGACACGGUCCAA